GGGGCUGACUUGGCUUCGACAGGAGCUGUAUCGCUUGGACUGCAUACCGACUGUAUGUCGUUAAACUACACAACAGAAUAAACGCAAAUAACGCAAAUUACGCUCCAGCUUACGCAAAAGUAGCGUGAGUCUUAACUAACCUUAGGAGCUGAUCUCUUUAGAUGUUUCUAGCCCAUCAUUGAGGUCAUCAUUUCUGCUAGAUGCCCCUAUAGAUUACCUUGUCUAUGGGGAAAGAUUUAGGUUGCUUGCUUUUGGGCUUUGGGGAUUUGAACCUAUGGGCAAAAAGACUUUUCAAUUCCCUCUAAGUAUGUAGAGGUUCUUGUUGGGUAUGGCUUUUGGACUGGGGUUCAAUUCCCCACAGCUCCACCA
This 369-nucleotide transfer-messenger RNA is filed under the name Helicobacteraceae. Its description in RNAcentral is "Helicobacter_J sp002272865 Standard tmRNA". It matches the Rfam family "transfer-messenger RNA". From Rfam's summary of the family: Bacterial tmRNA, also known as 10Sa RNA or SsrA, is named for its dual tRNA and mRNA-like properties. Lineage: Bacteria; Pseudomonadati; Campylobacterota; Epsilonproteobacteria; Campylobacterales. RNAcentral also lists the same sequence under 1 other name. The record is from RNAcentral.